Molecule: ribosomal RNA, 292 nt
Filed under: uncultured bacterium
Lineage: Bacteria
Description: partial 16S ribosomal RNA
Rfam family: Bacterial small subunit ribosomal RNA
Source: RNAcentral
GUGCCAGCCGCCGCGGUAAGACAGAGGGUGCAAACGUUGUUCGGAUUUACUGGGCGUAAAGCGUGUGUAGGCGGCUUGGCAAGUUGGAUGUGAAAGCCCACGGCUCAACCGUGGAAGCGCAUCCAAAACUGCCUCGCUCGAGUCUCGGAGAGGAAGGUGGAAUGCUUGGUGUAGAGGUGAAAUUCGUAGAUAUCAAGCAGAACACCUGCGGCGAAGGCGGCCUUCUGGACGAUGACUGACGCUGAGACACGAAAGCGUGGGGAGCAAACAGGAUUAGAUACCCCAGUAGUCC